GGUCGACGAUUCCUACGGGAGGCAGCAGUGGGGAAUAUUGCGCAAUGGGCGAAAGCCUGACGCAGCCACGCCGCGUGUGCGAUGAAGGUCUUCGGAUCGUAAAGCACUGUGGGGGGAGAAGAACAAAGCUGGUGAAGAGCCAGCCCUGACGGUAUCCCCUUAGCAAGCACCGGCUAACUCCGUGCCAGCAGCCGCGGUAAUGCGGAGGGUGCAAACGUUGCUCGGAAUCACUGGGCGUAAAGCGCACGUAGGCGGCCUUGUAAGUUGGGUGUGAAAGCCCUGGGCUCAACCCAGGAAGUGCAUCCAAAACUGCAUGGCUUGAGUACCGGAGGGGUUCAGAGAAUUCCUGGUGUAGAGGUGAAAUUCGUAGAUAUCAGGAGGAAUACCAGUGGCGAAGGCGCUGAACUGGACGGUAACUGACGCUGAGGUGCGAAAGCGUGGGUAGCAAACAGGAUUAGAUACCCUGGUAGUCCACGCCGUAAACGAUGAGUGCUAGGCGGUGGGAGAUUUUGACCCUCUCGCUGUCGAAGCUAACGCGUUAAGCACUCCGCCUGGGGAGUACGGUCGCAAGACUAAAACUCAA
Molecule: ribosomal RNA, 583 nt
Filed under: uncultured Myxococcales bacterium
Lineage: Bacteria; Pseudomonadati; Myxococcota; Myxococcia; Myxococcales
Description: bacterial SSU rRNA
Rfam family: Bacterial small subunit ribosomal RNA
Source: RNAcentral